GAUGAACGCUGGCGGCGUGCUUAACACAUGCAAGUCGAACGGUGAAGCCAAGCUUGCUUGGUGGAUCAGUGGCGAACGGGUGAGUAACACGUGAGCAACCUGCCCUGGACUCUGGGAUAAGCGCUGGAAACGGCGUCUAAUACUGGAUAUGAGCCUCUUCCGCAUGGUGGGGGUUGGAAAGAUUUUUUGGUCUGGGAUGGGCUCGCGGCCUAUCAGCUUGUUGGUGAGGUAAUGGCUCACCAAGGCGUCGACGGGUAGCCGGCCUGAGAGGGUGACCGGCCACACUGGGACUGAGAGACGGCCCAGACUCCUACGGGAGGCAGCAGUGGGGAACAUUGCACAAUGGGCGAAAGCCUGAUGCAGCAACGCCGCGUGAGGGAUGACGGCCUUCGGGUUGUAAACCUCUUUUAGCAGGGAAGAAGCGAAAGUGACGGUACCUGCAGAAAAAGCGCCGGCUAACUACGUG
This 466-nucleotide ribosomal RNA is filed under the name uncultured bacterium. RNAcentral's name for it is "partial 16S ribosomal RNA". It matches the Rfam family "Bacterial small subunit ribosomal RNA", at positions 28 to 507 of the family's 1533-position model. The record is from RNAcentral.